Non-coding RNA from Nomia melanderi (Alkali bee), 589 nucleotides. The record is from RefSeq and is a predicted model, not a curated record. NCBI's taxonomy places the organism in Eukaryota, Metazoa, Arthropoda, Insecta, Hymenoptera, Halictidae.
GACACGAAUCGGAAUGAAAGUGGUUGCGCUUUUUAGAACAGAUUCCGCCUGUUUCAAAAUUAUUGAGGGAGACAUCCGCUUUGCGGUGAAACGAGUUCCGUUUCACAGUUGGUAAAUGCCGGGUGCCCGAAUUUCUUUCUGCGAUGCAGGCCUCUACAUCAAUGUUCCCAGUCACGUAUCGUUUGGCGAGCUUUAAUCUUUGAAAUAUACAGAACGCUCCACUGAGACAAAAGGAAAUUGCUCUUGGAAUUGCAUCAUCGGGCAUUACCUCGGCCAAAUCUGCAAUGCACGCUAGUGUUCGGAAUGGCGUUGAAAUUCGAAAAAUAACUGAAAAGCAGACAAUGAGAUAGAGGGUAGCGAUCACGGACAAAUGACCGGAAAUUCUUACUGAUCGUAUCUGUGAUUCUCGUUCUCCUUCUUCGUCGAAUGCAAUGAUCGUUUAAAAUCCAGAUCGUCUGACCAUAGCUGGUUCUUCGUUAAUUACAACGGGUUAACGACCGUCGACUUCAUACUCCACGGCGAAGAAGUAUGUCGUCGGGAUUUCUUAACACACGGCAACGCCUGGUAACGUUCACGGUUAAUGUGUUAU